AUUGAACGCUGGCGGAAUGCUUUACACAUGCAAGUCGAACGGCAGCACGGGGCAACCUGGUGGCGAGUGGCGAACGGGUGAGUAAUACAUCGGAACGUGCCCAAUCGUGGGGGAUAACGUAGCGAAAGUUACGCUAAUACCGCAUACGAUCUACGGAUGAAAGCGGGGGAUCGCAAGACCUCGCGCGAAUGGAGCGGCCGAUGUCAGAUUAGGUAGUUGGUGGGGUAAAGGCUCACCAAGCCAACGAUCUGUAGCUGGUCUGAGAGGACGACCAGCCACACUGGAACUGAGACACGGUCCAGACUCCUACGGGAGGCAGCAGUGGGGAAUUUUGGACAAUGGGCGCAAGCCUGAUCCAGCCAUUCCGCGUGCAGGAUGAAGGCCUUCGGGUUGUAAACUGCUUUUGUACGGUAACGAAACGGUACUGCCCUAAUACGGUGGGCUAAUGACGGUACCGUAAGAAUAAGACACCGGCUAACUACGUAGCCAGCAGCCGCGGUAA
Molecule: ribosomal RNA, 502 nt
Filed under: uncultured bacterium
Lineage: Bacteria
Description: bacterial SSU rRNA
Rfam family: Bacterial small subunit ribosomal RNA
Source: RNAcentral